CAUAAAAAUUCAGCCCAAAUCGAACGGCCCAAGGAGUAAAGCCCAAUUGGAAGAUCCCCAAAUCAGAUAGCCCAAAGAACGAAGUCCAAUCGAACAAAUCAAGGUGAAGGCCCAAAUAAGGGGGCCCAAGAAUGCUGUAACGCCAUCGCCCAAGUUUGCAAGUCGCCCAGAAUUUGAACGAAUAGAGUGUUAUACGGUCGCCCAGAGCUGUUAUUCUAUUCUUGCCCAAACUUUCAAGUCGCCCAAGGUAUCAACAAACAUAACGCGUCGUGGUUAUCAAGAAAUGCAAUUAUCAAAGCAGUGGUUAAAGCAGCCCUAUCACGUUCCACGACUCAAGGAAUUCAAUCGAAAGCGGUUGAACGAUGAAAGGUAAUGGCAGCAGUUAAAAGGCAGUUUUCAUGACAAAAUGGCCACUACGAAGAAAGUGGGUAGUUAUAGGAUGAUCAAGCAGUUUUUAGAGUAGUUAAUCGCAAAGAGAUCGUCUAUGAAGUAUAAAAGGGAGAAAAGACAUAGAAGCAGGAGACCGAAUCCAAAACUCUCAAACAGAGAAUAUGUAAUUUUCAUUUCCUUAGUUUUUAGACUUAAACACUUUUCUUUCAGUAUCUCGUGUGCUUGCGCCCCUUGGAGGCACGUUGUUUUUCAUUUCCAAUUGUAAAGUCAUCGCCAAUAAAAGAACACCCCUUUUUAGGACUUUGUCUCAAGAGGUUUGUCCCUUACACAAUCGUCUGAUCCCUUUUAAUUGUUAGCGACUAACCCGCGCCAAACAAUUUGGCACGCCCAAUGGGACAGUGGUGUUAGGUGUUGAAAGUACAAAAUGGGAAACAAUAUGCCUCAGAGAUCCGAUGAGGAAGCAGCAAGUCAGGGAGGAAUCCAGCCUGUAAUCAAGCGAUAUGAGGAGCAGCAUGCCUCUCCACGAUCAGAUGGAUAAAAUCAGAGCAGUAACAGUCGUUACGAACCAAUGACGGAGUUGAGUCCUCGAACCAUGCGUGCAUUACUUGGAGAACUCACAUAAGACGUCGUUGAACAGGUAAAUCUUCGAAGUAUUCAUAAUAUGGAAAGAUUUACACAAAAUGGGAACGUACACUAUGACAACAUGGCCAAACAACUAAAGACGUUGAAUGAAACAAUGAACAAGUUAGUAGGCCAAAUAUGUCAACCGGCUAUACCUCUUACAAAUCACUUUCAAACUAGGACAAUUGUAGGACAUAAUCCCUCGGUCCUAAAUCCGAGUCAAGGGGUAGAACCACUUUUUGAUCCCUCUACUUCAAACCAAGGAGGUACUACAGUACCAAAUCAAAGCAAUGGUAGUGGUAUGCCUAACUUGGGGGGUAAUCCAAACGUGAGAGAUAAUGUCCUAAACAAUGGACAGAAUACCCCACGUGUUAAUGAGGGAAUAGAUGUUCAGGCUAAUGGUAAUGGCCAUAAUCAUGGUAACUUUGUUGCCAAUCAAGGACCAAACAUCAGGCCUCAUGCAAACCAACCGGUUAACCAACCUGUAGGAAUUCCAUAUGACCCCAACGUCAUGUUGAGGAACCAGAUUAUGGAAAUCGUACAGGAUCAUAUGGCUUUUGGGGUGCGUCCCGUCAUUAGGCCGACGUACACAAAGCCAUAUCUUGAUUGGGUAGAUCAAGCAUAUCCAUGGCCUAGAGGAUACAAAGUCGAAGUCACUUUGGCCGAUUUGGCGAAUUUACGUCAAAUGCCAAAUGAAUGGGCAGAAAGUUUUCUCCAUAGGUUCAAGACAGCAAGAAGCAAGUGUUUUGUACCUCUGCCCGAAAAAGAAUUUGUCAAGAUCGCUCAAGGCUGCUUGAGCUUUGAUUUAAAAAAGAAGUUCCAGGACAAGGAAUUCCCUGACCUUUUCCAGUUGAGUGCAAAUGUGAUUAGGUAUGAAUGACUGAUAAGAGAAGAAGAACAAAUGAAAAUUCUAGUAAAGGGAGUUAUUACAAAGACCCAAAUUUUGACGUUCAUACCAUCGACGACGAGUCAUACGAUCAAGCCGAAAUGUGUUUGGCCGAAUUGGUCAAAGGGGAUACAUAUACUUAUCCCAUAAUGGCCAAGCCUAGACCAUCGGGCAAAGAUGAGCCCAUAAAGGAUGGAAACAUAAAGGCUAGAAUGUUCUCGUUCGAUGUGACCAAAGCUGACCUUAUAUUCGACAAAUUAUAUAGGGAUAAGCAGAUAAGAUUGAGCGAUAAGCACAAAUUGUCAAACCCUGAACAAAUUAAGGGUAAAAAAUAUUGUAAAUGGCAUAAUGCAUGGUCACAUCUGACUAACAAUUGCUUGGUUUUCCGUCAUGUAUUGCAGGAUGCUAUUGAAUCAGGAAGAAUUACGUUCGAUGAUAAGAAAAAGAUGGCAGUGGACGAGAAUCCUUUCCUACAGCCACUUGGAGUAAACAUGGUAACAUCUGGAUUCAAGAACAAGUUAUCGAAAUUCAAAUUGGUCGUAGAUGACGGAGAAGAAGAUCCUAGACCACAUCCCAGCGUCUUUGAACGAAUCAAAGGAAAAAAACCAAAAAAGGACAAAGACAUCAUAUGUGCAAGGUGUAAAAGGAAAGUAAAUGGAAACACGGAGAAACCAGGGACAUGGCAGCAUCCUCAUCGCCCUGUUUUCUUCCCAAACAUUCAGCCUGGAAGAGGGCGAGGUACAUCAUUUUAUAGAGGACCGCCUUUUGAAAGGCAGUUCAGAUCAGCAGAUACUGGAAGAACAUUUAGGCCGCAACCUCGCCGGCCAAAUGUAUGGCAUUCAUUCCAGUACAAUGCUGGAAGGGCAAUACCCUUUGAUGAGAUGACUAGGACCCAACAAAGGCGUUUCCAACGAAACUACGGAUGGAUGAUGAGGCAGCAACAAGGAAUGUCACAUCCUAAAGCGCCUAUACUACUCAAAGUAGCCAAUCAAAACGUCCUCAAAGGUAGUAAAGAAGCCGGUACAGAUGAAUCAAUGAAGGAAUUGCCAGAAACCUCUUCUGGGAGAUCAAGGUUUGAAAGGGACAAGAGGGAUGAAGAAGAUCCAGAUCAACCCCUUGCUAUCCAAUUCGGUAUGUUGCCUCCUGUAGUGGCCAAUAAUUACCUACUGGCCAAUGAAUUCAAGAAUAAGGAAAAAGAAGAAGAGAGGGAGGACAACGAAGGAGAAGCCUGCGUGUUGGUAUGUGAAGAAGGCCAGACUUCUGGAGAGGCCUACAACGACGAGGAAGACGAUGGGAUGACGGACAUUGAAGAAGAAAUCGAUCUAGAAGCAGAAAGGAAAAAGAGAGGAGUAUCGCGCAAUACUCUGUUUAAGCAACUACAUCAAGAGGGAGUUCGUGAAGUAGACUUGUUGGGGGAGCCAUCUGGGCGUCCUUUCGAUUUCUACGUACUGUACGGGACACCCAAAAGGAAGAAGAGAGUGCCUCGCUCUGAAAAGUAUGGGUCACCUCCAAGAAUAAUGCCCCCUCCCACAGGUUGGAUAACUGAUGAGGAAGCAUUAGAAAAAAGUAAGAAGAAAGUUCAGGGGACAGAGGAUCAGCAUGACAUACUGCACGUCGACUUAUCAUAAGGGGAUAAUUCGACAGAAAACAAGUAAGAGGCAGAAAUAGAGGCUGCCGAAAAGGUUAUUUUUAAACGGUCAGCCAUGAAAUUAACUAAACACUUGAGGUCAUUAUACGUUAAAGCUCUAGUUAACGGUGUCCCAGUGGCAAAAGUGCUUGUCGACAAUGGAGCAACUAUAAACACCAUUCCAUCUAGGAUGGUGAGAAAGUUCGCAAAGACAGACGAUGACAUGAUUCCUACAGAAGUCAUCCUCACUAGCUUCAACGGAGGAGCAACUUCAGCUAAGGGAGUUAUGUCAUUAGACAUAACUAUAGGUACGACUACCAGGACCACUGUCUUCUUUGUAAUAGAUGGGCCUACUAGUUACAACGUGCUCCUAGGAAGAGAUUGGAUACACGGGAGUCACUGUAUACCCUCGUCGCUCCAUCAAUGCCUGAUUUUUUGGAAUGACAAAGGCGAAACAGAGGUGGUACAGGCUGAUCAUAGGCCUUUUGUCGCGGAAGCAAACUCGGUGGAAAAGUUCAUGUACGAAGGAAACUAUGGACUUGUCAGAGUAGUACAAGACGGGGAAAAAACUCAGGUUGUCACGCAAAGCAAAGAACCAUUCUCAGUGGACGCACUCACUGAGAUGUUCAAAUAGAUGAGGCCAAAUAUAGUGGCCCUGGAAGAGCCAGUAAUUGGCAAAAGAAUAAUUAAGGAAUCUUGAAUGGACUUUAAGUUACAAAAGCAAAUGGCCGACAUUCAGGCCUUCAAAGCCAGACUGAUGGCUUUCAAUAAGGAAUGCAAUGACAAAGCGAAGGAAGAGACUGCCCUAAAAGUGCUGAAGGACAAGUUGGCAGUAUUCGAGUUAGAGCAAAGCAUUGGCCGAGAAGUCAACAAGGUGGACUGUUUGGAAGAGGAAGUACUUACAAAAGAACUGGACGACGAAGUGAUGCGAAUUGCCAAACCUGGAUACGCUCAAGCGCAAGACCCUCUGAUCAAAGUAAAUAUUGGCGAUGAAGGAGAAGAUCACCCAACGUUUAUCAGCCAGAUGCUCGACCAAGAGGUUAGUAACAAAUUAAUCGCUUUGUUAAAAGAGUACAAAGAUUGUUUUGCUUGGGAAUAUGAACAAAUGCCUGGUUUAGAUAGAGACUUGGUGGAACAUAGGUUACCAACUAAGCCUAAUUUUAAACCUCAUAGGCAACCUCCUAGGCGUUUUGCUCCUAAUGUACUCCCUGAGGUUAGGAAAGAGAUAGAGCGAUUAUUGAAAGCAGGUUUUAUAAAAACAGCCAGAUAUGUUGAAUGGUUGUCGAAUAUUAUGCCAGUACUAAAAAAGAAUGGUAAACUAAGGGUGUGUAUAGACUUUAGAAAUUUAAACAUAGCUACACCCAAAGAUGAGUAUCCAAUGCCCACGGUAGAUUCUUUAGUAGAUUCAACUGCUGGACAUGUCAUGUAUUAUUUCAUGGAUGGGUAUUCAGAAUACAAUCAAAUUUAUAUAGCUGAAGAAGACAUACACAAAACUGCCUUUAGAUGCCCUGGGUCUCUAGGAUGUUUUGAAUGGGUAGUUAUGCCUUUCGGCCUAAAAAAUGCAGGGCCCACUUAUCAAAGGGCAAUGAAUUUAAUCUUUCAUGAUAUGAUAGGCAAGUUUGUUGAGGUGUAUGUAGACGACAUAGUAGUCAAGUCCAUUAAAGAAGAGGACCAUUUCGAACAGUUAAGAUGUUCAUUUGAACGAAUGAGGCAAUACAAGCUAAAGUUAAAUCCCUUGAAGUGUGCAUUUGGUGUUAAUGCAGGGAACUUUCUUGGUUUCUUAGUACACAAGAGAGGGAUUGAACUUGAUAAAAAUAAAGCGAAGGCUAUCUUAGAAGUCAAACCACCUAGCAACAAAAAGGAGUUGCAAAGGUUUCUAGGCCAAGUAAAUUUUUUAAGACGCUUUAUUUCUAACUGUGCAGGGCGAACUAAAGUUUCUUCGCCGAUAUUAAAGCUGAAAAAUCAGGACGAAUUUGUCUGGAAAGCAGAACAUCAAAAGGCUUUUGAAAGCCUGAAGACAUAUCUAUCAAGUCCACCAGUAUUGGUGUCACCAAUCCAAGGACGGCCAAUGAAAGUGUAUGUAUCGACUGAAAAAGAAUCAAUAGCUGGAAUGGUCGCACAGGAAGACCAAUUUGGUGAAGAAAGGGCAAUUUACUACUUAAGUAGACGGUUAACGAAAUGUGAAUGAAAUUACUCUACUGUUGAAAAAUUGUGUCUUGCACUGUAUUUCACAUGUACAAAAUUAAGGGCUUCUUUACGGUCCGUAACCGUUUAUUUAAUUUCUAAAGUAAAUUUAGUUAAGUAUAUGUUCUCGCGCCCUAUUUUACACCAAAGGGUAGGCCUUUGGACACUAGCUUUAUCAGAGUUCGAAAUACAAUAUAUACCUCAAAAGGCAGUCAAAAAUCAGGCUUUGGCUAACUUCCUAGCCGAUCAUCCAUGCCUUGACAUGCCUGAAGAAAUCGAAUUAGAAAUCAAUUCGUUCGAAUUAAAACCUUGGGUGUUGUAUUUCGAUGGGUCAAAAACCUCUAAAGGUACAGGAGUAGGAGUAGCAUUGAUUAAUCCUUUAGGGAUUUGCUACAAGUUUGCAUUCACCUUAGACAGAAUGUGCACCAACAAUCAGGCCGAAUAUGAAGCCUUAAUUGUAGGCCUAGAACUAAUGAUAGAUAUGGGAGUAAGAAAUGCGAUCGUUAGGGGCGAUUCUCAAUUAUCAAUUGAUCGGUGAUUUUAAAUGCCAAAGUGAUUCCAUCAUAAGUCAAUAUGAGAUCGCCCAAGAAUUAUUAGAGGAAUUUGAUCAAGUAGAACUUCAAUGCGUUAAGAGGAUAUAUAACGACGUGGCAAAUGAGUUAGCCCAAAUGGCUUCAGGGUACUCAAAGGUCUUGAAUUGAAAGUCUACUUGUGAGUAUGGAACCAUAUUGCCUGUAACUCAAAGAAGGGCGAGAAAAAUUGAACUUCACUAUAUACAAGAUGGAGAUGCAGUGGAUUGGAGAACAAAGAUUAAAGGGUUCCUUAAAGAACCUAAUGGAGGGAUUAGUAGGAAAACGAAGUUAUGUUUGCUGAAUUACACACUAAUAGAUGAAGAGUUGUUUAAGAAACGCUCUGAUGAUGUAUUACUAAAGUGUGUAAGUUUGCAAGAAGCCAAGACGAUCAUGGCUGAAGUGCACGAAGGGAUAUGUGGAGCUCAUCAAGCUGGCCAAAGGAUCAGAUGGUUAAUUAUUAGGAGUGGAUAUUUUUGGCCAAAGAUGGGAGAACUAUGCAUUCAGUAUACAAAAAGUUGUUUAGCGUGCCAAAAGUAUGGUCCAAUACAAAGGGCGCCAGCACGAGAAAUGGCACCUAUUAUUAAACCUUGGCCGUUCAAAGGUUGGGCGAUAGAUCUAAUAGGGAAGAUCUACCCUCCAUCGUCCAAGCAACAUACUUUUGUUAUAGUUGCAACCGACUAUUUCACCAAAUGGGUAGAGGCGGUACCUUUGAAAGAGAUCACCCAGAAGAAUGUUAUAGAGUUUAUCCGUGAUCAUAUUAUUUAUAGGUUUGGAAUUCCACAAACUUUAAUGGUAGAUCACGGAACAUCUUUAAAUGGGGAUCAAGUGAACAAAUUUUUGAGCGAGUUUGGGGUUAAAUAAAUAAACUCCACACCAUACUACGCUCAAUCCAACGGACAAGCGGAAUCUUCUGAUAAGAUUCUGAAAAAUAUCAUCAGAAAGAUGAUAGAUGAAAACGCCAGAAAUUGGCACGAAUGUUUGAACAAGGCCUUAUGGGCUUAUAGAACAUCACCUCGGUCAAGUACCAAAGUUACUCCUUUUCAACUUGUUUAUGGACAGGAAGCUGUUUUACCUAUGGAAAUCAACGUGCAAUCGAUUUGAGUGUGCUUGCAACAUAAGCUAAAUGAUGAUGAGUAUGCCGAAUCACUAGUUCAAAAUUUAUUGAGUUUAGACGAAUUGAAGUUGGACGUCUUAGAUAGGUUGCAAGUUCAAAAGCAAAGAAUGGCUAAGUUUUAUAAUAAAAAAGUCAUAGCCAAGUCGUUCAGCCUGGGUGAACUAGUUUGGAAGACAAUACUCUCUUUGGAUACCAAGGAUCCAAAGUACGGGAAGUGGUCGCCCAAUUGGGAAGGGCCAUACAAAAUAAACAGUGUGGUGCCUAAUGGAGUGUACCACUUGGAAGAUUUAGAUGGCACCAAGCACAUAAGAUUCAUUAACGGCAAAUAUUUGAAAAAAUAUGUUCCUUCUUUAUAGGAAUGUGAACAGAUAAAAACAUAACCAAAUAUUCUGGAAGAUCAAAAGAUAAUAAAGACAGAGCGAAAUACGUUCGAAUAAAGUUCUUUAUUAUUAAACGUUCAUUACAAGAAUACAAAAGAUAUAAAUAAUGGACGUGCUACAAAAUACAACUAAAGUAAGAUGAUCUCCCGGUUGAUCGCUAAGUAAGCUUCACGCCGCCUUCCUAAAUGCAUCGCUGCAAUGGUGGGAUUGUCGAGUAAGAGGGUGUACUGGCCUCACCACCUUCCUAAAUGCAUCGCUGCAAUGGCGAGCAAAGAGGCUGAGAAGCACUCUCAGCAGGCAAGUGGCCCACAAGCAGCUCAAAAAUUGCCUUCCAUCAUUGACUCCUUGUGAAGAACAAAGAGACGAUGGGAAGAAUUUUGCAGGAAAGAACUUCGCUGUUGGCCAGAAAAUAUUUCCUAUACCUUCCAUACCAAAGGUGACAUCAAGGUAAAUAUAAGACGGACGGACUAAACAGUCCAUUUUUGGAUCAGGUUGAUCGUCAGAAUGCCAAGAAAUGGCAGCAAAUUGGUUUCGAAGAAGAAAAUGAAGAGAUGAAGAUAGAGGAUGAAAAAUGCGAAGCAUUUAUAGGGGGUGAAGAUGAAGAGACAGAAUAUGAACAGCCACAUUUCUGUCUAAUAAACGGAAUUAAAUAGCCCUAAGUCUUAGGAAAAGUGGUGGAAAUAUCAAAAGGGAAUGUACAAGAUUCUUAGUGCAAAGCAGUUAAGUGCUUAAAGAAUUGAUGACUAAAAAAUAAACGUCAAAUAAAUGCACAAGAAGUUAAUGUUCAUUAAUGAUGAACAAAGUUACAGAAGGAAAAAUCGAAUUACAAAAUAAAAAAGACAUCGUAUGUCUUAAUUACAGUCUACCCCAUAAGGAACGAAUUCGUUCCCUAAGUUUUUCCCAAUCCUCGUUCUGUCGAGAGGAAGUGAUGUUCAAUUCAGCCGCGACGUCAUCAUCAUCAACUUUCAACUUCUUGUACUGCUCGACCAAGGACUUAUUUUGCUCAAUUCCUUGGGAGGCGUUGCGCUUUUUAGCAGCCAUCCUCGCCCUGCAGUCAUCCAUUUUAGCUUGAAGUUCCCUCAUCUGAGUAGCCAAGUUAACCAUCAAAGAGUCUUCAAUCAUGACUUCGGAGGAGAUUUCUUUCAACUCGUCCUCAGCCUUGUUAAUUUCCAUACGCAAAGACUCUUUCUCAGCUACGGCUCGAAGAUAUUGAGUACACUUGGCCUUUAGCUCAGUAUUCUUGGCCAGCAUAGAAAGGACCUCGGAGUGGAUAAUCUUCAACGUCGCUUUAAAAUCGGCAGAAAGAUUGAGCGACGGAAGCGUCAAUGCUUGCUCCAACUUCGCACUCAAGUGCUCAAGUUCAUCCUUGUGCCUGGCAGCACUAGCCCUUCCAAUAUCCAUAUCCAUGAAGGAUACGUACUCAAAUAUCAAUUCCUUCAGAAACUUCAAGUCUUCCUCUGAAGAAGCAGCAGGACGAUCGGAUGGAGCAGGGCGAAACGCCUGAAUUUGCCCCCAGGAAGCGAACAAGUCUUGGAUAGAACGCACAAUCCUGUCAGCAUCCUGCAAAGAAGACUGCCAAUAUUGAAAAUCCUCACUACAACGAACAAGGUGAAAAUAGAAGUAAAGCAAAAAACUACCUCGUCGACAAUCGUAGAAGAUGGCGCGCCCUCAGCCAAGCUUGCCACCAACGACUCAUCCAUUCGUGAGGACUUCCCCUUGUCCAAGCGAGAAGAUGUUGCCACAACGGGCGGACUCAUAGGAGUAUCUGCAAAGCUCAAGAGCAAUAAAUCAGAAACCAAUAGCACGAGCAAAGGUAAGACAUCAAAAAAAAACUGAAUUAACUUCUUCUUCGAUGUUUGGGAGGUUGACGCCCUGGGAAGAAGGUAGCUCAUCCAUGGGUUGUGAUGAGGAUUCUGGGACUGAAGAUGUCUCUUUAAGCGUAGCCCCCUCAUCAACUGGUUUGGAUGAAGUAGCCUCAGCAGAAGAUGAUGGAGCAGGAGUUGUCGAUGUCAAAGCCUUUGAAGGAGAGGCUGAACUUUUCUGAGAAAUCCAAAAGAUCAUCAGCACACAGAAAAGUUUCAAGUGUGGAAAAGUAUACUUGUAAGUAAACCAACUUAAUUACCUUCCUCCUGACAAUAAGAGGGGCAUCAUCAUCAUCAUCGACAUCAUCCUCCAGAAUGAGAGAUGCUGAGGCUGGCCGUUUGAGGCUUGGAGCACUUUUGGCCGUAGUAGGCUUGGCAGGGAGGGAAGAAGAUGGACGAGCAGAUUUUUUAGUGCGAUGAGAAGGAGAGGGACUCCGAAUAGACAAAGGAGUGACCAAAACAGAAGGAGGAGAAGAAAUACUUGGUUGGUCUAAUGAAUGGAAGGCACGAUUGGCCUCAGUCGCAAAUAAUCUGUGCUUCACCGAUGGCCAGAGUUGUUCAAAAAGAGGGUGAAUGGCGUGGCUAGAAUUGAAAGGGGCCAAUGAAAAAUGACUGGUUAAAAGGAGAUUACGAGCAUCUAUAGCCUCUGCCUCCGCUUUAGUAAUGGUAUGAAAACGGUCAACUAAAUUCUUUGAAUAGCAAGGAGGAACAGGCCAAGUUUGGCCAAAACCAAGCUGGUGAGCAAAAAAUUGGGGAGCAUAAAUCUCUAUCCCAGCCUUGGCAUUAGUCCCAGUUAGAAUAUCAUGAAAUAGCUCCCUCCCGGUUAAAAACUGAAUCCAAAUGAGCAGGGAGGUGCUCGCGCUAUCUAUGGUGGAAGAGGGAUGUACAUAGUUUGGAGUUAAGAAAGGAGGAAAAGGAAAAAAGGAAGAGAUUGAAUCUAAAGAAUAAAAGAAUGAAAAAAUGUCCCUUUUGGACAUAUUUACAGGAGUUAGGGGCUCCAUAGCUAGCCCGUAAUAGUUAGCAGAAGGACGAGAAAUGGAUGGAGUACCAAGCGAUGGAAAAUAGGAUUUCAACCACAGUUGAGUAAACCAAAGAGGUCCACUGCCAGUGGGAGAUGCACCAUUCUUCAAUUGAGCAUGAAGAGAAGCCAUGCCUCUAUAAAGGGCAGCCAAAAACAAAGAACAUAAAUUCAAAGGUUUGCCACGCGCCAAUUCGUGCGCUAUGGGUAAAUAACUCAGAGAAGGCUUUAUACUUGGCACGCACAAAACAUAUUUACAAAGCCAAACUAAAAGGAAGGUCACUCGCUCAGUAUGGGUAGGCUCAGCACUCGAAUGAUUGUGGAGGGUCUGCAGGCUUGAAUAAGAGUCGGUAUAGUUUUUACCAAACUUUGGGGCGCUACCAGAAACUAAGAUACCUGGGAAAAUGGUAUCGCCCAAAGGUGGUAGAUUCACCAGGGCCCCAACAUCCCUUAACAUAAUAGACAUGGGGCCAAGAGGAAAAAUAAAGGUGUUAUACUCAGGGGACCAAAAACUCAAAACAAUCGAAAAGAGCGCUGAAUCAAAAGUAGGGGGACGAAUAGAGACUUUUAACAAAUCAGAAAUCCUAGCGCUAUCAAAAAGUGCCUUAGUAGGACCAUGACCCACAAGGCGAGCAUGCCACCUACGAAAACUUACAUCAGAUUUAGGCCAAGUGUGAAUACCUCUUUCGCGAAGUGACCCCAGCGGUAGAGAGUUCAGGAAUGGAUGACCCUGAGUGCAGGGAAACAGCUGACCCACUGCCGCCUGUUCAACUGCCUCUGCAUUGUUGAAGAAAGGACCCAAGUAGAACUCAUUACGUCCAACGUCAGCGGGUGCGAGAAAACUUGGGGUUAUGUAUAGGCGACUCAGAAGUCUCUGAAAGUCAUCAAAACUAAAGGAGUCGCUAGCUUGAGAUUGUGAAGCAGCCAUUGGAGAAGGAACGAAGCUUUUCAAGGUUACGUAACAAGGAAGCAAAAGAUGAACAGUGAAUCGUGAAAGAGACGCAAAAAAUAUGAGGCGUGGUUUGGUAGCAGUGAAAUGGCUUGUUUGGGGUUUAUAAGGGUUUGCAAAACGACGCACCUUUUCAAGUUAUAGAAGGAAACAAUGAUUGAAAUUCUUGAGAAUUUCGAACGUUGCUGGAAACACAACGUGAAUAUGGAAAAAUUCAAUAAUUAUUAUUAAUUCUGCCAUAUUGGGGGUAAUUGUUGACACAUAAAAAUUCAGCUCAAAUCGAACGGCCCAAGGAGUAAAGCCCAAUUGGAGGAUCCCCAAAUCAGAUAGUCCAAAGAACGAAGUCCAAUCGAACAAAUCAAGGUGAAGGCCCAAAUAAGGGGGCCCAAGAAUGCUAUAAUGCCAUCGCCCAGGUUUGCAAGUCGCCCAGAAUCUGAACGAAUAGAGUGUUAUACGGUCGCCCAGAGCUGUUAUUCUAUUCUCGCCCAAACCUUCAAGUCGCCCAAGGUAUCAACAAACAUAACGCGUCGUGGUUAUCAAGAAAUGCAGUUAUCAAAGCAGUGGUUAAAGCAGCCCUAUCACGUUCCACGAUUCAAGGAAUUCAAUCGAAAGCGGUUGAAC
This 12224-nucleotide long non-coding RNA is filed under the name Olea europaea (common olive). Its description in RNAcentral is "long non-coding RNA (OEUR_LNC013158)". The record is from RNAcentral. Lineage: Eukaryota; Viridiplantae; Streptophyta; Magnoliopsida; Lamiales; Oleaceae.